Molecule: unclassified non-coding RNA, 1089 nt
Filed under: uncultured Bordetella sp.
Lineage: Bacteria; Pseudomonadati; Pseudomonadota; Betaproteobacteria; Burkholderiales; Alcaligenaceae
Description: partial 16S-23S ribosomal RNA intergenic spacer
Rfam family: Bacterial small subunit ribosomal RNA
Source: RNAcentral
CGAUCCAGCCAUCCCGCGUGUGCGAUGAAGCGGCCUUCGGGUUGUAAAGCACUUUUGGCAGGAAAGAAACGGCACGGGAUAAUACCCCGAAGAAUUGACGGUACCUGCAGAAUAAGCACCGGCUAACUACGUGCCAGCAGCCGCGGUAAUACGUAGGGUGCAAGCGUUAAUCGGAAUUACUGGGCGUAAAGCGUGCGUACAGGCGGUUCGGAAAGAAAGAUGUGAAAUCCCAGAGCUUAACUUUGGAACUGCAUUUUUUUAACUACCGAGCUAGAGUGUGUCAGAGGGAGGUGGAAUUCCGCGUGGGAGAAUAUGGAACGAUAUAUAGAUGAAUGAUGCAGCAGCCUUCGGGAUAACACUGACGCUCAUGCAUUGAGUGCUGGGUGAAAAACGACAUGGGAUUAGAUACCCUGGUAGUCCACGCCCUAAACGAUGUCAACUAGUUGCCACCGGGCCUUGUAGGCGUGGCGCUAACGCGUGAAGUUGACCGCCUGGGGAGUACGGUCGCAAGAUUAAAACUCAAAGGAAUUGACGGGGACCCGCACAAGCGGUGGAUGAUGUGGAUUAAUUCGAUGCAACGCGAAAACCUUACCUACCCUUGACAUGUCUGGUCCCGAAGAGAUUUGGGAGUGCUCGCAAGAGAACCGGAACACAGGUGCUGCAUGGCUGUCGUCAGCUCGUGUCGAGAUGUUGGGUUAAGUCCCGCAACGAGCGCAACCCUUGUCAUUAGUUGCUACGAAAGGGCACUCUAAUGAGACUGCCGGUGACAAACCGGAGGAAGGUGAUGACGUCAAGUCCUCAUGGCCCCUAUGGGCAGGGCUUCACACGUCAUACAAUGGUCGGGACAGAGGGUCGCCAACCCGCGAGGGGGGAGCCAAUCCCAGAAACCCGAUCGUAGUCCGAUCGCAGUCUGCAACUCGACUGCGUGAAGUCGGAAUCGCUAGUAAUCACGGACCAUCGUGAAUACGUUCCCGGCCCGCACAACGCCCGUCACACCAUGGGAGUGGGUUUUACCAGAAGUAGUUAGCCUAACCGUAAGGAGGCGAUUACCACGGGUGAGAUUCAUGAUCAAACAAGUCGUAACAAGGU